RNAcentral lists this ribosomal RNA (440 nucleotides) under uncultured bacterium. Its description in RNAcentral is "partial 16S ribosomal RNA". It matches the Rfam family "Bacterial small subunit ribosomal RNA", at positions 338 to 795 of the family's 1533-position model. The record is from RNAcentral.
CCUACGGGCGGCAGCAGUAGGGAAUAUUGCUCAAUGGGGGAAACCCUGAAGCAGCAACGCCGCGUGGAGGAUGAAGGUUUUCGGAUUGUAAACUUCUUUUGUCAGAGAAGAUAAUGACGGUAUCUAACGAAUAAGCACCGGCUAACUCCGUGCCAGCAGCCGCGGUAAUACGAAGGGGGCAAGCGUUAUUCGGAAUUACUGGGCGUAAAGAGCGCGUAGGCGGGAUAGCAAGUCAGAAGUGAAAUCCUAUGGCUUAACCAUAGAACUGCAUUUGAAACUGUUAUUCUAGAGUAUAGGAGAGGUAGGUGGAAUUCUUGGUGUAGGGGUAAAAUGCGUAGAGAUCAGGAGGAAUACUCAUUGCGAAGGCGGCCUGCUGGAACGUAACUGACGCUGAUGCGCGAAAGCGUGGGGAGCAAACAGGAUUAGAUACCCGUGUAGUC